GGGAAGGUGGCUCAGUGGUAGAGCACUUGCCUUGCAUGCAUGAGGCCCUGGAUUCCAUUCCU
Dipodomys ordii (Ord's kangaroo rat) is the source of this 62-nucleotide non-coding RNA. The record is from Rfam. Lineage: Eukaryota; Metazoa; Chordata; Mammalia; Rodentia; Heteromyidae.